Molecule: non-coding RNA, 91 nt
Organism: Mycena epipterygia
Lineage: Eukaryota; Fungi; Basidiomycota; Agaricomycetes; Agaricales; Mycenaceae
Source: the annotation of a GenBank genome assembly
UUGGACGUGGUGUAUGGCGCACACUCGCCUUCUGUGUCGCCAAUGUCAAAUUGAUGUGCAGGAAGCCCGGGUUCGACUCCCGGCGUCCGAA